GAAAUGCGAUAAGUAAUGUGAAUUGCAGAAUUCAGUGAAUCAUCGAAUCUUUGAACGCACCUUGCGCUCCUUGGUAUUCCUCGGAGCAUGCCUGUUUGAGUAUCAUGAAAUUCUCAAAAUAAAUCUUUUGUUAAUUCAAUUGGUUUCAUUUUGGACUUGGGGGUCUGCAGAUUAACCUCUGCUCCUCUUAAAUAUAUUAGCUGGAUCUUGGAGAGGUCGGUUCCACUCGGCGUGAUAAGUAUCACUCGCUGAGGACACUGUAAAAGGUGGCCGGGCUCACUGCAGAACCGCUUCUAAUGGUCCAUUGGAUUGGACAAAUAAAAUUUAUGAUCUGAUCUCAAAUCAGGUAGGACUACCCGCUGAACUUAA
This 369-nucleotide unclassified non-coding RNA is filed under the name uncultured Ceratobasidium. RNAcentral's name for it is "sequence contains ITS1". The stretch from base 1 to 105 matches the Rfam family "5.8S ribosomal RNA", at positions 50 to 154 of the family's 154-position model. Lineage: Eukaryota; Fungi; Basidiomycota; Agaricomycetes; Cantharellales; Ceratobasidiaceae. The record is from RNAcentral.